UUCAAAAACUCGUUCUCAUACGAUCACCGAUAUUAAGCAACGUCGAGCCUGGUCAGUACCUAGAUGGGUGACGGUUUAGGAGUACCAGGUGCUGUAAG
Molecule: non-coding RNA, 98 nt
Organism: Acanthosepion pharaonis
Lineage: Eukaryota; Metazoa; Mollusca; Cephalopoda; Sepiida; Sepiidae
Source: the annotation of a GenBank genome assembly